GACGAACGCUGGCGGCGUGCUUAACACAUGCAAGUCGAACGGAGAGGCCCUGCUUUUGUGGGGUGCUCGAGUGGCGAACGGGUGAGUAACACGUGAGUAACCUGCCCUUGACUUUGGGAUAACUUCAGGAAACUGGGGCUAAUACCGGAUAGGGGCUCCUGCUGCAUGGUGGGGGUUGGAAAGUUUCGGCGGUUGGGGAUGGACUCGCGGCUUAUCAGCUUGUUGGUGGGGUAGUGGCUUACCAAGGCUUUGACGGGUAGCCGGCCUGAGAGGGUGACCGGCCACAUUGGGACUGAGAUACGGCCCAGACUCCUACGGGAGGCAGCAGUGGGGAAUAUUGCACAAUGGGCGGAAGCCUGAUGCAGCAACGCCGCGUGCGGGAUGACGGCCUUCGGGUUGUAAACCGCUUUCGCCUGUGACGAAGCGUGAGUGACGGUAAUGGGUAAAGAAGCACCGGCUAACUACGUG
This 468-nucleotide ribosomal RNA is filed under the name uncultured bacterium. RNAcentral's name for it is "partial 16S ribosomal RNA". It matches the Rfam family "Bacterial small subunit ribosomal RNA", at positions 28 to 507 of the family's 1533-position model. The record is from RNAcentral.